UUCGAUGAUACGCGAGGAACCUUACCUGGGCUCAAAUGUAUGUUGACGUAUUCUGAAAGGGAUACUUCUUCGGACAAUAUACAAGGUGCUGCAUGGUUGUCGUCAGCUCGUGCCGUGAGGUGUCGGGUUAAGUCCCAUAACGAGCGCAACCCCUACCUUUAGUUGCCAUCAGGUUAAGCUGGGGACUCUAAAGGAACUGCCUACGCAAGUAGUGAGGAAGGCGGGGAUGACGUCAAAUCAGCACGGCCCUUACGUCCAGGGCUACACACGUGCUACAAUGGCCGAUACAGAGGGCAGCUACCUGGUGACAGGAUGACAAAUCUCCAAAGUCGGUCUCAGUUCGGAUCGGAGUCUGCAACCCGACUCCGUGAAGUUGGAUUCGCUAGUAAUCGCGCAUCAGCCAUGGCGCGGUGAAUACGUUCCCGGGCCUU
RNAcentral lists this ribosomal RNA (431 nucleotides) under uncultured Sphingobacteriales bacterium. Its description in RNAcentral is "bacterial SSU rRNA". It matches the Rfam family "Bacterial small subunit ribosomal RNA", at positions 950 to 1382 of the family's 1533-position model. The record is from RNAcentral. Lineage: Bacteria; Pseudomonadati; Bacteroidota; Sphingobacteriia; Sphingobacteriales.